Molecule: transfer RNA, 57 nt
Filed under: Bos taurus (domestic cattle)
Lineage: Eukaryota; Metazoa; Chordata; Mammalia; Artiodactyla; Bovidae
Also listed under: 4 other names
Rfam family: tRNA
About the family: Transfer RNA (tRNA) molecules are approximately 80 nucleotides in length.
Source: Rfam by way of RNAcentral
UAGCUCAGAUGGUAAAGCGUCUGCCUACAAUGUAGGAGACCCAGGUUCAAUCCCUGG